GCACAAGCGGUGGAGUAUGUGGUUUAAUUCGAUGCAACGCGAAGAACUACCUGGUCUUGACAUCCCGGAGACCCUUAGGAAACUAGGGGGUGCUUCCAUCUGGAAGAAUCUGGAGACAGGUGCUGCAUGGCUGUCGUCAGCUCGUGUCGUGAGAUGUUGGGUUAAGUCCCGCAACGAGCGCAACCCUUGCCUUUAGUUGCCAGCAGUUCGGCUGGGCACUCUAAAGGGACUGCCGGUGUUAAACCGGAGGAAGGUGGGGAUGACGUCAAGUCCUCAUGGCCUUUAUGACCAGGGCUACACACGUACUACAAUGGCCGAUACAAAGGGCAGCGACACUGCGAGGUGAAGCCAAUCCCGUAAAAUCGGUCUCAGUCCGGAUUGGAGUCUGCAACUCGACUCCAUGAAGUUGGAAUCGCUAGUAAUCGUGGAUCAGCAUGCCACGGUGAAUACGUUCCCGGGCCUU
RNAcentral lists this ribosomal RNA (463 nucleotides) under uncultured Desulfobulbus sp. Its description in RNAcentral is "bacterial SSU rRNA". It matches the Rfam family "Bacterial small subunit ribosomal RNA", at positions 923 to 1382 of the family's 1533-position model. The record is from RNAcentral. Lineage: Bacteria; Pseudomonadati; Thermodesulfobacteriota; Desulfobulbia; Desulfobulbales; Desulfobulbaceae.